RNAcentral lists this ribosomal RNA (494 nucleotides) under uncultured bacterium. RNAcentral describes it as "partial 16S ribosomal RNA". It matches the Rfam family "Bacterial small subunit ribosomal RNA", at positions 31 to 507 of the family's 1533-position model. The record is from RNAcentral.
GAACGCUGGCGGCGGGCCUAAUACAUGCAAGUCGAGCGAACAGACGAGGAGCUUGCUCCUCUGACGUUAGCGGCGGACGGGUGAGUAACACGUGGAUAACCUACCUAUAAGACUGGGAUAACUUCGGGAAACCGGAGCUAAUACCGGAUAAUAUAUUGAACCGCAUGGUUCAAUAGUGAAAGACGGUUUUGCUGUCACUUAUAGAUGGAUCCGCGCCGCAUUAGCUAGUUGGUAAGGUAACGGCUUACCAAGGCAACGAUGCGUAGCCGACCUGAGAGGGGGAUCGGCCACACUGGAACUGAGACACGGUCCAGACUCCUACGGGAGGCAGCAGUAGGGAAUCUUCCGCAAUGGGCGAAAGCCUGACGGAGCAACGCCGCGUGAGUGAUGAAGGUCUUCGGAUCGUAAAACUCUGUUAUUAGGGAAGAACAAAUGUGUAAGUAACUAUGCACGUCUUGACGGUACCUAAUCAGAAAGCCACGGCUAACUACGUG